AAAAAUUUAGUUAAACCCAUAACAUUAGCUUGUCAAGCUAAAAUUAUUAGCCACUAAUAAUUUUUA
This 66-nucleotide transfer RNA is filed under the name Chrysomeloidea sp. 5 KM-2017. RNAcentral's name for it is "tRNA-Asp". It matches the Rfam family "tRNA". From Rfam's summary of the family: Transfer RNA (tRNA) molecules are approximately 80 nucleotides in length. Their secondary structure includes four short double-helical elements and three loops (D, anti-codon, and T loops). Further hydrogen bonds mediate the characteristic L-shaped molecular structure. tRNAs have two regions of fundamental functional importance: the anti-codon, which is responsible for specific mRNA codon recognition, and the 3' end, to which the tRNAs corresponding amino acid is attached (by aminoacyl-tRNA synthetases). tRNAs cope with the degeneracy of the genetic code in two manners: having more than one tRNA (with a specific anti-codon) for a particular amino acid; and 'wobble' base-pairing, i.e. permitting non-standard base-pairing at the 3rd anti-codon position. The record is from RNAcentral. Lineage: Eukaryota; Metazoa; Arthropoda; Insecta; Coleoptera.